GGCUUUUAAGUGAUUAGAUUUUAUAUUGAUGUGUUGCAUAUGUUGUGUUGGUGGUGUAUGCAUGAAUUCUGGAGCAUAAGUGAUGGAAAAGUCUCUUUUGAAUCAUUGGCAAAGUUCUAUUUGACAGUACAAACUGUGAUGCAUUAACAACCCGAUAAAACAUAAAUGGUGCCAAAUUUCACAUAUCAAGAUCACCAUGAUAAAAAAGUUCCACCUAUAUAAACGCCAUUAACCCCACCAGGUUGUUAUGGUUUUUUCCAACUGCAAGCAGAAAAC
Long non-coding RNA from Helianthus annuus (common sunflower), 276 nucleotides. RefSeq lists it as uncharacterized. The transcript is spliced from 3 exons. The record is from RefSeq and is a predicted model, not a curated record. Lineage: Eukaryota; Viridiplantae; Streptophyta; Magnoliopsida; Asterales; Asteraceae.